This 683-nucleotide long non-coding RNA is filed under the name Musa acuminata (dwarf banana). RNAcentral describes it as "long non-coding RNA (MACU_LNC008554)". The record is from RNAcentral. Lineage: Eukaryota; Viridiplantae; Streptophyta; Magnoliopsida; Zingiberales; Musaceae.
AUUGGGCUCUCUCUACUGGAAGAUUUGUUGUUCAUCCUGGCUGGUGAGAAAUGAAUGCCUCUUUUCAAAAUUUCAUUGAACAUAUGCUUCCCGCAACGAAGUAAAAUGGAGCCACAAAUGUUGGCUGCUGGUGGGUUGGUCAUCCACCGGGAGAACAUUUUGUGCACCAAUGCAAGCUCAUGUUACCGUAAUGGAUAAUUUAUUUUUCAAGUGGUUUUAUGGACUAAGCUGAUGUCUGUGUCAACAGGGUAGAAGCUUCAGCCCUUCUCUAUCGGCGGGUGAACGAGCAUGACUUUGCAGUCAAAGCUGUGACAUGAUAAGCUCAUCAUACACAAACACAGAAACACACUCGGCCUUUGUUAUCUAAAGAUCAGGGUAGAAUCUUCACCCCUUCUCUACUGGUGGGCGAAUGAACAUGAGUUUGCGGUUAACGCUGUGACAUGAUCAGCUCAUCAUACACAAAUCCAGAAGCACACUUGGCCUUCGUUAUAUAAAAAUCAGCUCAUCAUACACAAAUCCAGAAGCACACUUGGCCUUCGUUAUAUAAAAAUCUCCGAUCAGAGGCAGUUCACAAACUGGGAACGCACACGGCUAAACUGACCUUUGGUUCCAAGAAAAGCUGUGAAUACCAAUAAUCAAUUCCAAAAGCUGAAGGGAGUAAUUUUGGUGGGAAAACCAAGGGG